Molecule: ribosomal RNA, 327 nt
Filed under: Triticum aestivum (bread wheat)
Lineage: Eukaryota; Viridiplantae; Streptophyta; Magnoliopsida; Poales; Poaceae
Description: partial small subunit ribosomal RNA
Source: RNAcentral
AUGGUCGGGUGUGACCUGCUAUCAUUCCUUGACGCCUACUCGAGGUACCACCAAAUCUUCAUGGCGAAAGAAGACGAAGAGAAGACAGUGUUCAUCACCCCAUGUGGCACGUAUUGCUUUUUACGGAUGCCUUUCGGGUUGAAGAGUGUUGGCUCGACGUUUGCAAGGGCGGUCCAGAUUGGUUUUGAGCCCCAGUUACAUAGAAAUAUGGAACCUUAUAUGGAUGACAUAGUGGUCAAAACCAAAGACAGGGCAACGCUUGUACAAGAUCUCGAAGAGAUGUUUGCGAAUCUGCGCAAGAUCAACCUCAAGUUGAACCCUGAGAAG